GACGAACGCUGGCGGCGUGCCUAAUACAUGCAAGUAGAACGCUGAAGGAGGAUCUUGCUUCUCUGGAUGAGUUGCGAACGGGUGAGUAACGCGUAGGUAACCUGCCUGGUAGCGGGGGAUAACUAUUGGAAACGAUAGCUAAUACCGCAUAAGAGUAGAUGUCGCAUGACAUUUGCUUAAAAGGUGCAAUUGCAUCACUACCAGAUGGACCUGCGUUGUAUUAGCUAGUUGGUGAGGUAACGGCUCACCAAGGCAACGAUACAUAGCCGACCUGAGAGGGUGAUCGGCCACACUGGGACUGAGACACGGCCCAGACUCCUACGGGAGGCAGCAGUAGGGAAUCUUCGGCAAUGGACGGAAGUCUGACCGAGCAACGCCGCGUGAGUGAAGAAGGUUUUCGGAUCGUAAAGCUCUGUUGUAAGAGAAGAGCGAGUGUGAGAGUGGAAAGUUCACACUGUGACGGUAUCUUACCAGAAAGGGACGGCUAACUACGUG
RNAcentral lists this ribosomal RNA (495 nucleotides) under uncultured bacterium. Its description in RNAcentral is "partial 16S ribosomal RNA". It matches the Rfam family "Bacterial small subunit ribosomal RNA", at positions 28 to 507 of the family's 1533-position model. The record is from RNAcentral.